This 1719-nucleotide ribosomal RNA is filed under the name Plesiomonas shigelloides. Its description in RNAcentral is "partial 23S ribosomal RNA". It matches the Rfam family "Bacterial large subunit ribosomal RNA", at positions 1 to 1754 of the family's 2925-position model. The record is from RNAcentral. Lineage: Bacteria; Pseudomonadati; Pseudomonadota; Gammaproteobacteria; Enterobacterales; Enterobacteriaceae.
GUUGUAUGGUUAAGUGACUAAGCGUACACGGUGGAUGCCUUGGCAGUCAGAGGCGAUGAAGGACGUGCUACCCUGCGAAAAGGGUUGGUGAGCUGGGAUGGAGCGCUAUAGCCAACCAUGUCCGAAUGGGGAAACCCACCUAAGAUAACUUAGGUAUCGUUAAGUGAAUACAUAGCUUAACGAGGCGAACCGGGAGAACUGAAACAUCUAAGUACCCCGAGGAAAAGAAAUCAACCGAGAUUCCGUUAGUAGCGGCGAGCGAACGCGGAGCAGCCCAGAGUCUGAAUCAGUGGAUGCGUUAGUGGAACGGAUUGGAAAGUCCGGCGAUACAGGGUGAUAGCCCCGUACACGAAGACGCAUUGCUGUGAGCUCGAUGAGUAGGACGGGACACGUGGUAUCCUGUUUGAAGAUGGGGGGACCAUCCUCCAAGGCUAAAUACUCCUGACUGACCGAUAGCGAACCAGUACCGUGAGGGAAAGGCGAAAAGAACCCCUGUGAGGGGAGUGAAAUAGAACCUGAAACCGUGUACGUACAAGCAGUGGGAGCACCUUCGUGGUGUGACUGCGUACCUUUUGUAUAAUGGGUCAGCGACUUACAUUUUGUAGCGAGGUUAACCGAAUAGGGGAGCCGUAGGGAAACCGAGUCUUAAUAGGGCGAAUUAGUUGCAAGGUGUAGACCCGAAACCCGGUGAUCUAGCCAUGGGCAGGUUGAAGGUUGGGUAACACUAACUGGAGGACCGAACCGACUAAUGUUGAAAAAUUAGCGGAUGACUUGUGGCUGGGGGUGAAAGGCCAAUCAAACCGGGAGAUAGCUGGUUCUCCCCGAAAGCUAUUUAGGUAGCGCCUCGGACGAACACCUACGGGGGUAGAGCACUGUUAAGGCUAGGGGGUCAUCCCGACUUACCAACCCUUUGCAAACUCCGAAUACCGUAGAGUGCUAUCCGGGAGACACACGGCGGGUGCUAACGUCCGUCGUGAAGAGGGAAACAACCCAGACCGCCAGCUAAGGUCCCAAAGUCAUGGUUAAGUGGGAAACGAUGUGGGAAGGCUUAGACAGCUAGGAUGUUGGCUUAGAAGCAGCCAUCAUUUAAAGAAAGCGUAAUAGCUCACUAGUCGAGUCGGCCUGCGCGGAAGAUGUAACGGGGCUAAACCAUGCACCGAAGCUGCGGCAAUGACACUUAGGUGUUAUUGGGUAGGGGAGCGUUCUGUAAGCGGUUGAAGGUGUACUGUGAGGUAUGCUGGACGUAUCAGAAGUGCGAAUGCUGACAUAAGUAACGAUAAAGCGGGUGAAAAGCCCGCUCGCCGGAAGACCAAGGGUUCCUGUUCAACGUUAAUCGGAGCAGGGUGAGUCGACCCCUAAGGCGAGGCUGAAAAGCGUAGUCGAUGGGAAACGGGUUAAUAUUCCCGUACUUGUGGUAACUGCGAAGGGGGGACGGAGAAAGUUAGGCUAUCCGGGCGACGGUUGUCCCGGUUUAAGCGUGAAGGUGGAGAGACUAGGCAAAUCCGGUCUUUCAUUAACACUGAGGCGUGAUGACGAAGCACUACGGUGCUGAAGUAGCUGAUACUACGCUUCCAGGAAAAGCCUCUAAGCAUCAGGUUACCAGAAAUCGUACCCCAAACCGACACAGGUGGUCAGGUAGAGAAUACUCAGGCGCUUGAGAGAACUCGGGUGAAGGAACUAGGCAAAAUGGUGCCGUAACUUCGGGAGAAGGCACGCUGA